UACGUAGGGUGCAAGCGUUAUCCGGAAUUAUUGGGCGUAAAGAGCUCGUAGGCGGUUUGUCACGUCUGCUGUGAAAACUGGAGGCUCAACCUCCAGCCUGCAGUGGGUACGGGCAGACUAGAGUGCGGUAGGGGAGAUUGGAAUUCCUGGUGUAGCGGUGGAAUGCGCAGAUAUCAGGAGGAACACCGGUGGCGAAGGCAGAUCUCUGGGCCGUAACUGACGCUGAGGAGCGAAAGCAUGGGGAGCGAACAGG
Molecule: ribosomal RNA, 253 nt
Filed under: uncultured bacterium
Lineage: Bacteria
Description: partial 16S ribosomal RNA
Rfam family: Bacterial small subunit ribosomal RNA
Source: RNAcentral